Octodon degus (degu) is the source of this 905-nucleotide long non-coding RNA. RefSeq lists it as uncharacterized. Lineage: Eukaryota; Metazoa; Chordata; Mammalia; Rodentia; Octodontidae. The transcript has 3 exons. The record is from RefSeq and is a predicted model, not a curated record.
UCCCGGCGCCCAGAGCCGCGCCCUCCAGCAGAAUCCGGUGGGCGCGGGGCUUAGGCGGUUUUCCGGAAAAGCUCCGCGCUUUUGGCUCAGGAUCCGGCCGGGCUCGGCCACACCGCGGGCCCCGCAGCCGUAGGCCACACACCCAGCCUGCAGGGAAAAGCAGCUCCUGUCCGCUGCCCGAUGCCCGCGGCACCGCCGUCCGCCGUUCCUGGUCUCUCAGGGAGGCACCCCUACCCAGCCCGGCUCCUCCACCGGCUGCCCUUGGCCUCGGCCUCCUGGGCCUCCGUGACCUCUGACCCCUCUUGGUGCGAACAAGGCCAGACGUUUCUCCGCAGAGGCUGAGGGGCUGCGUGCGUUCGCCCUGCCUAGCUGCCUGGCCCGUAGAGAUGGAGGACAGGACAGGAGGAUGGCCUGGCCAAGGGAUGUGACUUGUGACCCAGUGCUUGGGGAGCAGCCCCAAGGGUGCAUCUGGAGUUGUGAUUUCGUUGGCGUUUCCUGGUGACCCUGCCCCAGACCUGUCCAGAGCCAGAGCCCCACCAGAGCUGCCCUGGGAUGGCCCGGAGGUGACAGAUGCCAGGGUCGGACACCAUCAGUGCCAGGCCUGGGAGGGGAAAGGGGGGCACAGGCUCUUCCCAAGGUGCGGAGCUUGCUGUGUGUCCCAGAGAAGUGUGCGCAAGUGGGGAGGCCCUGCUUGCCGCCAGGUUUCUCCUGCCUUCGGAACACGGCCGGCUCAGCUCCUAGGGAGCUUGACCCUGACUGUCUCCUCCUCUCGUUGGGAAGCCCCCGCCCACCCUGUAGCUCUCCCCAGAGCCCCACCAGCAGCCUUUCCUGCAGCACCAGUUAGGGCAGCGGCUUCAGGGUCCCUCCCGCAGAGCUGGAGUGUCCUGCCCGCUUCAGGCGAAAAC